This 254-nucleotide ribosomal RNA is filed under the name uncultured bacterium. RNAcentral describes it as "partial 16S ribosomal RNA". It matches the Rfam family "Bacterial small subunit ribosomal RNA", at positions 524 to 776 of the family's 1533-position model. The record is from RNAcentral.
UACGUAGGGUGCGAGCGUUAAUCGGAAUUACUGGGCGUAAAGCGUGCGCAGGCGGUCUGUUAAGACCGAUGUGAAAUCCCUGGGCUUAACCUGGGAACUGCAUUGGUGACUGGCAGGCUUUGAGUGUGGCAGAGGGAGGUAGAAUUCCACGUGUAGCAGUGAAAUGCGUAGAGAUGUGGAGGAAUACCGAUGGCGAAGGCAGCCUCCUGGGCCAACACUGACGCUCAUGCACGAAAGCGUGGGGAGCAAACAGG